Non-coding RNA from Cricetulus griseus (Chinese hamster), 3726 nucleotides. Lineage: Eukaryota; Metazoa; Chordata; Mammalia; Rodentia; Cricetidae. The record is from RefSeq and is a predicted model, not a curated record.
AAAAACAAAAAAAAAAAAAAAAAAAAACCACUGGAUCCUGAACUGGGGUGGGAGGAAGAGUUCUCACCCAUUCAGCAUCAAAUAUCGAGUAAGCACAGUGUGUCCAGGAGGCAACAACAAUGUGAAGAGAACUUUUAAAGAGGAUGCAUUUAUUUAUAGUGCAAUUAAAUGUUCUUUUGAAGUUACAUGUGUAGAGGCCACAGAGCUGGGUCAUUGGUUGAGAACACUGGCUGCUCUUGCAGAGGACCUGCGUUUGGUUCCCAGCACCCACAUAGUGGCUCACAGCCAUCUGUAACUCCAGUUCCAAGAGCUCAGAUGCCCAAUUCUGAACUCUACAAGCACCAGGCACCAGGUACACGCGCGCGCGCGCGCACGCGCACACGCACACGCACACACACACACACACACACACACACACACACGAAAAACAAAACUAAGUAAAAAUAAUUUCAAGUGUAUUAUUUUUAAAAGACCGGAGGCAAAUUAAUCAAACGUGGUUUUUGAGAGGGAGUUUUCUAAGUAGGGGGAUUCUAGCCGUGGGUGGGGUGUCAGGAGGCUCAAUUUCCAGGCCAGCUCUCCCUCUCUCUUGCUGGGUGACUGUGAAAAUCUUCCACUUCAUACAGGGAACCAGGCACUCUCCCACUCAGACAUUACUUGAGAAUAAUCAGGACCAGGUGCUUAUGGGCAGUUUUAUUUGCACAGUUGGUACUGGCCACCCCUGUGUAGGCCCAGCUAGCCAAGCCUUCACCCCAGCCUGGGCCUCUCUCUCUUUCCUAACCUGGGAGGAAGCAGCCCCCAAACCCCCCACCCAUCUGUGGGCUCUGAUCUCAAAUUAGAAUUCCACCUCUUUCCUCUGCCUGAGUAUGAAUCAUGAAAAAGCCGCCUACACCAUCAGCUGCAGCCCCAGAAACAAAGAAGCUUUGGGCAGUGAUUGUCUGGACAGCCACCCUAGCCCCAGAGUGUCAUAGGGAAAGGAGGGGACCAAACAGGACAGGUGGCAUGUGUGUCACAGGUCUCUUCUUAUACCAGGUCUCCACAACUCCCUGGGUGGGUGACAAUGUGCUCUGUAUCACAGGGAGGAGGUGUCAAGGGAGGCUUAGUCCUCAGUGGGAUACUGGCUCAGGGUGGGAUGGGUUCUCCCUAGUGCUGAUGGUGAUUGUCAGCUGUCAAUCACAGUUGGGUCUCAUCCCCAUCGCUGUCCACACCACCUUAGCUUAGUGGUACCAGGAGUUUAAACCCAUUUCUGAUUGAGUCAAUGGGAAGCCUGCUCCUCCCCUGAGGAAAAUUCAGUCACAGCUGAUUCUCAGGCCUCUUUGUUCUCAGGCCUCAGUCCUCUCUGCCCCUACCCCCACCACACCCCCUCAGAAGCCCACAGAUCCAGAACGUUCUGUGAUCUUUCAAUGGUGGCUGUAACUCAGGUUCUUAGGAGAAGUGACUUCUUCAACAGGAUAGGGCAUAAACCACACUGGUGCCCCUGUCCCCCCUUGCUAAGCCACCCCCAGCCACCAGCUGCUGUUUCCUUUCACAAUGUUCCUACUUGGUCAACCGAAUUCACCCCUUUCCCUCAGCCUGCACCUCAUUUCUGCCCCCUUUAUUUUAUUUUAUUUUUAAUCAUAAAGUAGAAGAAAUUAUGCUCAUUCUUCCAUCUGACUUUAGCUUGUCAGGCACACAGUCAAGAUAAACAAUUGUUGGUUUUCAAGACAGGGUUUCUCUGUACAAUCACAGCUGGCCUGGAACUUGCUCUGUAGACCAGGCUGGCCUCAGACUCAGAGAUCCACCUGCCUCUGCCUCCCAAGUGCUGGAACUAAAGGUGUGCGCCACCACCGCCUGGCAGAAAGAAAUUUCUUAUCAAUGCUGUUACCUUCUUUUCUCAUGGCAGUCUUAUGUUCUAAUACUAAGAGCCCCAUGGCUGGGAGUAAAGCUUGCUUGUAGAGGGCUUGCCUGGCACAGAUGAGGCUCUGGAGUCCACCCCUGGUACAGAGAGAAAGAGGAAGAAGGAAGGGAAUUGAGAAAGAAUGAAAGAGAGAGAAAAAGACUAGGACAACAAAUGAAAGAAUCCUAUAGUUGUUUGUGUGGUCACCCACGCAUCUAAAUGCAUCAGAUUUCCCUGGGAAAAUGUGUUCUGACAGGGUCUUGGAAAACAUGGAAAUUGAAAGUUGUGCCCUGUCUCCAUCUUUAGAAUGUUCAAAUUAUGUUGGGUAGCCAUCUUAAUUUUUUUUUUUCUAGAACAGUGAUUCUCAACCUGUGGGCUGAGACCCCUUUGGGAGUCAAAUGACCCUUUCACAGGGGUCCCACAUCAGAUAUCUUGAAAAUCAGAUAUUUACAUUGAUUCAUAACAGUAGCAAAAUUAUAGUUCUGAAGUAGCAAUGAAAUAUUUUGUGGCUGGGGUCGGCACAACAUUAGGAACUGUAUUAAAAGGUCUCAGCAUUGGGAAGGUUGACAGCCACUGUUGUAGAUGGCCUGGAGCUCACUAGUUGCCCAGGAUGGUCUGAACUCACAGAAAUCCUCCUGUCUCAGCUCCCACAAAGUGUGGGCCACCAUACCUGGCUCUCUUGACUUCAUCUGCCAUGGAGGAUGUGCCGUUGUGUAAUAGACACCAGUAAAUACCCCACACAGCUACAUCCUAGCCUGCCUUCAUCCUGGGCAACUGUGGGGAGUCAAGUGUGCCCUGUGCUCUCUACAGUGCAGGAGCACAGUGAGAGGAUUGUCACUGCAUCACUUAAUUAAUCUGGUUCUAAAGAGAUCAAACUCCAGUCCUGAAUCUCUCCGACUGUCUUCUGCCAGAGCCAGGCCUUCCCGUGCACACCGCCGCUCCUGCACACUGCUCUAGGGACCUGAGCAGUUAAUCCAGUUGGGCCCGUCAAUCACUUAGCUAAAAGACCAUCACUCAGGGAAGCCAAUUCACAGAGGCCAAGCCAAGAUGGGCGGAGUAACUAUCCCCUUCAUGAGGCCCCCCUGGCCAGCAGAACUGAGGAGAGCUUGCCCAGCAAGGGGGACCGUGGCCUCAGCAAAGCCCUGCACUCUGUUGGACCCUUCCUGUCCCUCAGGUUUUGGGAGGGGGGUGGUCCUUGAUCUUGAAUCCAGACUGCUAGGGUCUGCGGGUGGCCUGGCUUCAAAGUGAGAACGCCUUAUGAUUUGCAAGUGUGCCAGCCCGGGACUCUUUCCUGGCCCCUCAGCAGGGCCUCUCUCUGAGGGGGUGUGUGAGAAGGGGCUAUGGUCAAGGUUGUCCUCAAGGGGGGCAUAAACUGCGCAUGGUGUGUUCAGUGGUGAGAUCCCAGAGCAAACGGGCAAACCAAAUGUUUGAUGUUGGGUGAGGGGCGUGAAUAAAAUGUUACCAAGACACAUGUGGUACCUGGUACUGUUUAGGUAAAGACACCCACAUAAGAACAACACAGCAUGCUUUGUGUAGGCUGGUGUGUAAAUAAAGGAGUAGGAAGGUCUAUGUUCCUUUAAGAUUGGGCAUAGACAUCAAAUCCAUUGUUAUAGGAGGAUGGUGUUGUAGACUAUGUUCCUGCUUGUGGCCUCAACAAAGCAGGCUAAAAAUCAAAAUGGAGUCAGGAUAAAAGGCAAACCUAAGCGAUGCUAUUAUACCACUCUCAGAGAAAUCAAGGUGGGAGAGACAAAAGCCACUGCUCUCAAACAAUGAAAAUAAAAUGGAAUGAAAAUAAAAUUCACGGGCUCGAGAGAUGGCUCAGAGGUUAAGAGCACUGGCUGCUGCUCUUCCAG